RNAcentral lists this ribosomal RNA (1244 nucleotides) under bacterium. RNAcentral's name for it is "bacterial SSU rRNA". It matches the Rfam family "Bacterial small subunit ribosomal RNA", at positions 50 to 1337 of the family's 1533-position model. The record is from RNAcentral.
AACACAUGCAAGUCGAACGGUAAGGCCCCUUCGGGGGUACACGAGUGGCGAACGGGUGAGUAACACGUGGGUAAUCUGCCCUGCACUUCGGGAUAAGCCUGGGAAACCGGGUCUAAUACCGGAUAUGAACUCCUGCCGCAUGGUGGGGGUUGGAAAGUUUUUCGGUGCAGGAUGAGCCCGCGGCCUAUCAGCUUGUUGGUGGGGUAAUGGCCUACCAAGGCGACGACGGGUAGCCGGCCUGAGAGGGUGAUCGGCCACACUGGGACUGAGACACGGCCCAGACUCCUACGGGAGGCAGCAGUGGGGAAUAUUGCACAAUGGGCGAAAGCCUGAUGCAGCGACGCCGCGUGGGGGAUGACGGUCUUCGGAUUGUAAACCCCUUUCAGUAGGGACGAAGCGCAAGUGACGGUACCUGCAGAAGAAGCACCGGCUAACUACGUGCCAGCAGCCGCGGUAAUACGUAGGGUGCGAGCGUUGUCCGGAAUUACUGGGCGUAAAGAGCUCGUAGGCGGUUUGUCACGUCGUCUGUGAAAUCCCUCGGCUUAACCGGGGGCGUGCAGGCGAUACGGGCAGACUUGAGUACUACAGGGGAGACUGGAAUUCCUGGUGUAGCGGUGAAAUGCGCAGAUAUCAGGAGGAACACCGGUGGCGAAGGCGGGUCUCUGGGUAGUAACUGACGCUGAGGAGCGAAAGCAUGGGUAGCGAACAGGAUUAGAUACCCUGGUAGUCCAUGCCGUAAACGGUGGGCGCUAGGUGUGGGGUCCUUCCACGGACUCCGUGCCGUAGCUAACGCAUUAAGCGCCCCGCCUGGGGAGUACGGCCGCAAGGCUAAAACUCAAAGGAAUUGACGGGGGCCCGCACAAGCGGCGGAGCAUGUGGAUUAAUUCGAUGCAACGCGAAGAACCUUACCUAGGCUUGACAUAUACAGGACGACGGCAGAGAUGUCGUUUCCCUUGUGGCUUGUAUACAGGUGUGCAUGGUUGUCGUCAGCUCGUGUCGUGAGAUGUGGUAGUCCCGCAACGAGCGCAACCCUGUCUCAUGUGCAGCACGUAUGUGGGGACUCGUGAGAGACUGCGGGUCACUCGAGAAGUGGGGAUGACGUCAAUCAUCAUGCCUUAUGUCUAGGCUCCACCAUGCUACAAUGGGCUUAGUACAAGAGGCUGCGAUACGGAAGGGGAGCCAAUCAUAAGCCUGGUCAGUCGGAUGGGGUCGCAACUUUGAACCAUGGAAUCCGGAAGGCCCUA